GCGGGUGCUAACGUCCGUCGUGAAGAGGGAAACAACCCAGACCGCCAGCUAAGGUCCCAAAGUCAUGGUUAAGUGGGAAACGAUGUGGGAAGGCCCAGACAGCCAGGAUGUUGGCUUAGAAGCAGCCAUCAUUUAAAGAAAGCGUAAUAGCUCACUGGUCGAGUCGGCCUGCGCGGAAGAUGUAACGGGGCUAAACCAUGCACCGAAGCUGCGGCAGCGACACUGUGUGUUGUUGGGUAGGGGAGCGUUCUGUAAGCCUGUGAAGGUGUGUCGUGAGGCAUGCUGGAGGUAUCAGAAGUGCGAAUGCUGACAUAAGUAACGAUAAAGCGGGUGAAAAGCCCGCUCGCCGGAAGACCAAGGGUUCCUGUCCAACGUUAAUCGGGGCAGGGUGAGUCGACCCCUAAGGCGAGGCCGAAAGGCGUAGUCGAUGGGAAACGGGUUAAUAUUCCCGUACUUGGUGUUACUGCGAAGGGGGGACGGAGAAGGCUAUGUUGGCCGGGCGACGGUUGUCCCGGUUUAAGCGUGUAGGUGUGUGUUCCAGGUAAAUCCGGUUCACUUUAACACUGAGGCGUGACGACGAGGCACUACGGUGCUGAAGCAACAAAUGCCCUGCUUCCAGGAAAAGCCUCUAAGCAUCAGGUAACAUCAAAUCGUACCCCAAACCGACACAGGUGGUCAGGUAGAGAAUACCAAGGCGCUUGAGAGAACUCGGGUGAAGGAACUAGGCAAAAUGGUGCCGUAACUUCGGGAGAAGGCACGCUGACACGUAGGUGAAGUGAUUUACUCAUGGAGCUGAAGUCAGUCGAAGAUACCAGCUGGCUGCAACUGUUUAUUAAAAACACAGCACUGUGCAAACACGAAAGUGGACGUAUACGGUGUGACGCCUGCCCGGUGCCGGAAGGUUAAUUGAUGGGGUCAGCGCAAGCGAAGCUCCUGAUCGAAGCCCCGGUAAACGGCGGCCGUAACUAUAACGGUCCUAAGGUAGCGAAAUUCCUUGUCGGGUAAGUUCCGACCUGCACGAAUGGCGUAAUGAUGGCCAGGCUGUCUCCACCCGAGACUCAGUGAAAUUGAACUCGCUGUGAAGAUGCAGUGUACCCGCGGCAAGACGGAAAGACCCCGUGAACCUUUACUAUAGCUUGACACUGAACAUUGAGCCUUGAUGUGUAG
Molecule: ribosomal RNA, 1167 nt
Filed under: Salmonella enterica
Lineage: Bacteria; Pseudomonadati; Pseudomonadota; Gammaproteobacteria; Enterobacterales; Enterobacteriaceae
Description: partial 23S ribosomal RNA
Rfam family: Bacterial large subunit ribosomal RNA
Source: RNAcentral